GACGAACGCUGGCGGCGUGCCUAACACAUGCAAGUCGAACGGAGAAUUAGCAAUAAUUCUUAGUGGCGAACGGGUGAGUAACGCGUAGACAACCUACCCUUUAGAUGGGGACAACACCGCGAAAGUGGUGCUAAUACCGAAUAUUGCUUGAGAAGCGCAUGCUUUUCAAACUAAAGAUGGCCUCUACUUAUAAGCUAUCGCUAAAGAAUGGGUCUGCGUCUGAUUAGCUAGUUGGUGAGAUAAAAGCUCAACAAGGCAACGAUCAGUAGCCGGUCUGAGAGGAUGAACGGCCACACUGGGACUGAGACACGGCCCAGACUCCUACGGGAGGCAGCAGUGGGGAAUCUUCCGCAAUGGACGAAAGUCUGACGGAGCAACGCCGCGUGAGUGAAGAAGGUUUUCGGAUUGUAAAGCUCUGUCUUCUGGGAAGAAUGGUCUCUAUGUAAAUAAUGUAGGGACAUGACGGUACUAGAGGAGGAAGCCACGGCUAACUACGUGCCAGCCGCCGCGGUAA
This 514-nucleotide ribosomal RNA is filed under the name uncultured bacterium. RNAcentral describes it as "partial 16S ribosomal RNA". It matches the Rfam family "Bacterial small subunit ribosomal RNA", at positions 28 to 523 of the family's 1533-position model. The record is from RNAcentral.